GUAAGUAGCGGCGAGCGAACGCGGAAGAGCCCAAACCAAUAAAGUUUUCUUUAUUGGGGUUGCGGACAUAUCAUAACGAAGAGGUAUCGUAAUUGAAGAGGUUUGGAAAGACCCACCACAGAAGGUAAUAGUCCUGUAUGUUAAACGAGAAAACUUUAGAUAUGAUCCAGAGUACCACGGGACACGUGAAACCCUGUGGGAAGCAGGAGGGACCACCCUCCAAGGCUAAAUACUACCUAGUGACCGAUAGCGUAUAGUACCGUGAGGGAAAGGUGAAAAGAACCCCGGGAGGG
Molecule: ribosomal RNA, 293 nt
Filed under: Clostridioides difficile
Lineage: Bacteria; Bacillati; Bacillota; Clostridia; Peptostreptococcales; Peptostreptococcaceae
Description: partial 23S ribosomal RNA
Rfam family: Bacterial large subunit ribosomal RNA
Source: RNAcentral